CGUCGCCCUCACUGCGCCACCGUCGUCCUCGUCACAGAGCCAGCCGCCGCAACUUAUAGCAAAUUCAGAGAGAUGGAACUCAGGAAGAGAGGAGACAGAGAGCUCGGAGACUGAGCUAGGGUUCAACCACCGUGCCCAGCCGUGCUCGCGUCGUCGGUGCCGUUUUCGUCGAAACUACCGCCGUUUGAGGGGCUAUGCUUGGCUGCCGUUGUGCUGCCCUGCUUCACCGUGGCUGAGCUCCGCUACCCCCUGAUCUUUGGGCUUGUGGUGCUGAUGCGGGAAUUACUACAGGAAGAGAAGAACACGAAGAGGAGAAACUGGGAUCGUUGUUGUCGCCAUCGCUGCUGAAGACCAGCCACCGCGCCGAGCUUUUACCGUCACCAUUCUGCCCGGUGUCGCCAGCACUGAAGUCGGCUGCUACCACCGUCAAGCCUUGUUGGAACUGGUGUUGCUUUUGGAGGUUUGGAAGGGAGGCUUGCUCGGAUUUGCUUCUGGUCCUGGUUCUCACAGCUGCCGGAGCCUCUGCCACCAUCAGAACUGCCAUUGAAACUAUUGAUUUGGUUCCAAUUCCUCCAUUUUUGAGACUUGCUGCAUCUCUAUUUUCCCUAUUUACUGCUAGAACUAUCAUAGGGAAUACUGUUGAUGUCAUCAGGAAACUGUUAGAGCUGCUGUUGUUGCUGAUGCGAUUUAGAACGAAGUUGGAGUCACGUUUAAUUUUGUGGAUUUUGACUAACUGAGUGACACAGGUUCGAAGACUCCGUUUGAAGCUGCAGGCGAUUAUAGAUCUUAUUUAUGAGUUAAGUUUAUGACUUGAGUUAUUUUCAUAGAAUUUCCCUCGCCCUUGUUACUUUGGUUUUUAUUUUAUACAGAGGGAUAGGAUUUGUAUGUGAGUUUUAUUUGAAAUCUUUUGUAUGACAGAUAUUAUUAUUAAUAAUUAUGUGAUUAUUAUUACUUGGUGAUGCUUGCUAUA
Long non-coding RNA from Arachis duranensis, 970 nucleotides. RefSeq lists it as uncharacterized. The transcript has 3 exons. Lineage: Eukaryota; Viridiplantae; Streptophyta; Magnoliopsida; Fabales; Fabaceae. The record is from RefSeq and is a predicted model, not a curated record.